UGGGCAGAAGGAUCCUCCUCUUGUGGUUGCUGGUCCUGACCCACCUCACUGCCUGAUCAUCCAGAAGGCACUGCCUCAGCCAGAAGGAUGGUGUGGGAGAUCGUGUCAAAUGCUUUGCUGAAAUCAAGGUAAAGCACAUCCACUGCUUUACCAUCACCUACCCACCUGGUUAUGUCCUCAUAAAAGGCUCUCAGGUUGGCCAAACAAAAA
This is a long non-coding RNA of Pogoniulus pusillus (Red-fronted tinkerbird), 210 nucleotides long. RefSeq lists it as uncharacterized. The record is from RefSeq and is a predicted model, not a curated record. Lineage: Eukaryota; Metazoa; Chordata; Aves; Piciformes; Lybiidae. The transcript is spliced from 2 exons.